This 426-nucleotide ribosomal RNA is filed under the name uncultured prokaryote. RNAcentral's name for it is "bacterial SSU rRNA". It matches the Rfam family "Bacterial small subunit ribosomal RNA", at positions 355 to 796 of the family's 1533-position model. The record is from RNAcentral.
UGGGGAAUUUUCCGCAAUGGGCGCAAGCCUGACGGAGCAACGCCGCGUGAGGGAGGAAGGCCUGUGGGUUGUAAACUUCUUUUCUCUGUGAAGAAGAUCUGACGGUAGCAGGGGAAUCAGCAUCGGCUAACUCCGUGCCAGCAGCCGCGGUAAGACGGAGGAUGCAAGCGUUAUACGGAAUUAUUGGGCGUAAAGCGUCCGUAGGCGGUUUGUCAAGUCUGCUGUUAAAGACUACAGCUCAACAGAGGGAUGGCGGAGGAAAGUGAUGAACUAGAGUGCGGUAGGGGUAGAGGGAAUUCCCAGUGUAGCGGUGAAAUGCGUAGAUAUUGGGAAGAACACCAGUGGCGAAGGCGCUCUACUGGGCCGCAACUGACGCUGAUGGACGAAAGCUAGGGGAGCGAAUGGGAUUAGAUACCCGCGUAGUCC